Molecule: long non-coding RNA, 507 nt
Organism: Oncorhynchus keta (chum salmon)
Lineage: Eukaryota; Metazoa; Chordata; Actinopteri; Salmoniformes; Salmonidae
Exons: 3
Source: RefSeq, a predicted model, not a curated record
CCAUCAAUAACUAUAUCCUGUGGCCUACUGUGUUGUUGUUGUUGUUGUUGUCGCACUGCUUUUGCUUUAUCUUGGCCAGGACGCAGUUGUAAAUGAGAACAUGUUCUCAACUGGCCUACCUGGUUAAAUAAAGGUGAUCUGGCCUACCUGGUUAAAUAAAGGUGAUCUGGCCUACCUGGUUAAAUAAAGGUGAACUGGCCUACCUGGUUAAAUAAAGGUGAUCUGGCCUACCUGGUUAAAUAGAGGUGAACUGGCCUACCUGGUUAAAUAAAGGUGAUCUGGCCUACCUGGUUAAAUAAAGGUGAACUGGCCUACCUGGUUAAAUAAAGGUGAUCUGGCCUACCUGGUUAAAUAAAGGUGAUCUGGCCUACCUGGUUAAAUAAAGGUGAUCUGGCCUACCUGGUUAAAUAAAGGUGAUCUGGCCUACCUGGUUAAAUAAAGGUGAUCUGGCCUACCUGGUUAAAUAAAGGUGAUCUGGCUUACCUGGUUAAAUAAAGGUGAUCUGGC